Molecule: ribosomal RNA, 301 nt
Filed under: uncultured bacterium
Lineage: Bacteria
Description: partial 16S ribosomal RNA
Rfam family: Bacterial small subunit ribosomal RNA
Source: RNAcentral
CAGUAGCCACGGUAAUACGUAGGGUGCAAGCGUUAAUCGGAAUUACUGGGCGUAAAGCGUGCGCAGGCGGUUUGUUAAGACAGAUGUGAAAUCCCCGGGCUUAACCUGGGAACUGCAUUUGUGACUGGCAAGCUAGAGUAUGGCAGAGGGGGGUGGAAUUCCGCGUGUAGCAGUGAAAUGCGUAGAUAUGCGGAGGAACACCGAUGGCGAAGGCAGCCCCCUGGGCCAAUACUGACGCUCAUGCACGAAAGCGUGGGGAGCAAACAGGAUUAGAUACCCGCGUAGUCCCUGUCUCUUAUAA